Molecule: transfer RNA, 74 nt
Organism: Oenococcus kitaharae DSM 17330
Lineage: Bacteria; Bacillati; Bacillota; Bacilli; Lactobacillales; Lactobacillaceae
Rfam family: tRNA
About the family: Transfer RNA (tRNA) molecules are approximately 80 nucleotides in length. Their secondary structure includes four short double-helical elements and three loops (D, anti-codon, and T loops).
Source: Rfam
GCGGAAGUGGCUCAACUGGAUAGAGCAUCGGAGUUCUAAUCCGCAGGUUGUGGGUUCGAGUCCCACCUUCCGCA